UUUGCACUAACUUCAGGAACCAGCUCAUGAUCUCACGAUGUAUGGAAAAAUAAUCUUUGUAUUACUAUUGUCAG
RNAcentral lists this small RNA (74 nucleotides) under Pan troglodytes (chimpanzee). RNAcentral describes it as "processed transcript". The record is from RNAcentral. Lineage: Eukaryota; Metazoa; Chordata; Mammalia; Primates; Hominidae.